This 292-nucleotide ribosomal RNA is filed under the name uncultured microorganism. RNAcentral's name for it is "partial 16S ribosomal RNA". It matches the Rfam family "Bacterial small subunit ribosomal RNA", at positions 501 to 796 of the family's 1533-position model. The record is from RNAcentral.
CUACGUGCAGCCGCGGUAAUACGUAGGUGGCAAGCGUUGUCCGGAAUUAUUGGGCGUAAAGCGCGCGCAGGCGGUCCUUUAAGUCUGAUGUGAAAGCCCACGGCUCAACCGUGGAGGGUCAUUGGAAACUGGGGGACUUGAGUGCAGAAGAGGAAAGUGGAAUUCCACGUGUAGCGGUGAAAUGCGUAGAGAUGUGGAGGAACACCAGUGGCGAAGGCGACUUUCUGGUCUGUAACUGACGCUGAGGCGCGAAAGCGUGGGGAGCAAACAGGAUUAGAUACCCUGGUAGUCC